AGAGCGAACGCUGGCGGCAGGCCUAACACAUGCAAGUCGAACGGACCCUUCGGGGUUAGUGGCGGACGGGUGAGUAACACGUGGGAACGUGCCUUUUGGUUCGGAAUAGCUCCUGGAAACGGGUGGUAAUGCCGAAUGUGCCCUUCGGGGGAAAGAUUUAUCGCCAUUAGAGCGGCCCGCGUCUGAUUAGCUAGUUGGUGAGGUAAUGGCUCACCAAGGCGACGAUCAGUAGCUGGUCUGAGAGGAUGACCAGCCACAUUGGGACUGAGACACGGCCCAAACUCCUACGGGAGGCAGCAGUGGGAAUCUUGCGCAAUGGGCGAAAGCCUGACGCAGCCAUGCCGCGUGAAUGAUGAAGGUCUUAGGAUUGUAAAUUCUUUCACCGGGACGAUAAUGACGGUACCCGGAGAAGAAGCCCCGGCUAACUUCGUCGCCAGCGAGCCGC
Molecule: ribosomal RNA, 445 nt
Filed under: uncultured soil bacterium
Lineage: Bacteria
Description: bacterial SSU rRNA
Rfam family: Bacterial small subunit ribosomal RNA
Source: RNAcentral